Tripterygium wilfordii is the source of this 917-nucleotide long non-coding RNA. RefSeq lists it as uncharacterized. NCBI's taxonomy places the organism in Eukaryota, Viridiplantae, Streptophyta, Magnoliopsida, Celastrales, Celastraceae. The transcript has 2 exons. The record is from RefSeq and is a predicted model, not a curated record.
UUGCUUAUGGGUAAAUUUUGUGUGAAUUUUAUUUUUAUAAAAUACAUAUGGCACAUAAUCUUUUUCUUCUUCCGUGAGCACUGUCCCUGCCUUCAAUGGCGACUUCGUUGUUCAGUAACCAUUUCAAACAGCCAACCUACCAAAAAGCUUUCCCGGACAAAACUCAGCUUAGCCCAACAGCCAACAACCUCCAGUUUGGCUUGAAAGUCGCGCGAAAGUCACGAAAGUUCAUCUAAAAAAAGUCCGAUCCGGCCACCUGAGUCACUUCUGUUGGUGACCACCACCACCACCAUCAAUCAACUCCCAUCCAUACCCGCCCGUUUUUCAGCUAGAAUAGCCACCGGGAUAGGAAGAUCCAAUGUUGACCCGAAUUGGUCAAACGUGACCCACUGGACAUGACUGGUUUUUUUAAUUCCGGCACUCCCAAAGGUAGUAUUCGGCUUGAAAUCUCGGGUUUCAGUAGUGCAAGCUCUAAGUCUCUCAAUGGUAGAAUUGUGUCAGGUUUUUGCAGCUAAAUGCAGAUAUUGUAGGCUUUUUGCAUCAAAGUGAAGGGGAAGUGACAGAGAGUGGAGAAAGCAUGGCAUUGUGGAUGAAGAUAUUAUAGAACCAAGCUACUGAAAAUAGGGGAUACUUUAUUGGGGCCAAUGCACAUAGAGAUUUCCUCUCUGCUGAGGACAACGAUGAACAGGACGCUAAAAGAUUACAACUUAUGGUAGUAACCCUUGAAGAAGGGCCCCGAGUUUGAUGCAGAUCCUACAUAUGCUUUCAUUUGUAUACAUAAAUGUUCAAACUUUAAAUUAUCUAAAAAAAAUUAAUAUUCAGCUUACAAUAUGGUUUGGAACUUCAAGCCCUGCUUCACUUCUCAAUGUAGAGUCUUUUCCUGGAGGAGAAAAUGAAUUCAAGUAUUUGUCUCAAGU